This 959-nucleotide ribosomal RNA is filed under the name uncultured bacterium. RNAcentral describes it as "bacterial SSU rRNA". It matches the Rfam family "Bacterial small subunit ribosomal RNA", at positions 531 to 1490 of the family's 1533-position model. The record is from RNAcentral.
GUGGUAAGUGUUGGCGGAAUUAUUGGGCGCCAGAUCGUAAAGGUGGUCCUUUAAGUCUGAUGUGAAAGCCCACGGCUCAACCGUGGAGGGUCAUUGGAAACUGGGGGACUUGAGUGCAGAAGAGAAGAGUGGAAGUCCACGUGUAGCGGUGAAAUGCGUAGAGAUGUGGAGGAACACCAGUGGCGAAGGCGACUCUUUGGUCUGUAACUGACGCUGAGGCGCGAAAGCGUGGGGAGCAAACAGGAUUAGAUACCCUGGUAGUCCACGCCGUAAACGAUGAGUGCUAAGUGUUAGAGGGUUUCCGCCCUUUAGUGCUGCAGCAAACGCAUUAAGCACUCCGCCUGGGGAGUACGGCCGCAAGGCUGAAACUCAAAGGAAUUGACGGGGGCCCGCACAAGCGGUGGAGCAUGUGGUUUAAUUCGAAGCUACGCGAAGAACCUUACCAGGUCUUGACAUCCUCUGACACUCCUAGAGAUAGGACGUUCCCCUUCGGGGGACAGAGUGACAGGUGGUGCAUGGUUGUCGUCAGCUCGUGUCGUGAGAUGUUGGGUUAAGUCCCGCAACGAGCGCAACCCUUGAUCUUAGUUGCCAGCAUUAAGUUGGGCACUCUAAGGUGACUGCCGGUGACAAACCGGAGGAAGGUGGGGAUGACGUCAAAUCAUCAUGCCCCUUAUGACCUGGGCUACACACGUGCUACAAUGGAUGGUACAAAGGGCAGCAAAACCGCGAGGUCGAGCAAAUCCCAUAAAACCAUUCUCAGUUCGGAUUGUAGGCUGCAACUCGCCUACAUGAAGCUGGAAUCGCUAGUAAUCGCGGAUCAGCAUGCCGCGGUGAAUACGUUCCCGGGCCUUGUACACACCGCCCGUCACACCACGAGAGUUUGUAACACCCGAAGUCGGUGGGGUAACCGUAAGGAGCCAGCCGCCUAAGGUGGGAUAGAUGUAGGGGGUGCAGCAGUG